This 1644-nucleotide long non-coding RNA is filed under the name Nothobranchius furzeri (turquoise killifish). Its description in RNAcentral is "lncRNA (ENSNFUG00015000399.1)". Lineage: Eukaryota; Metazoa; Chordata; Actinopteri; Cyprinodontiformes; Nothobranchiidae. The record is from RNAcentral.
AUGUCGGUUUUAUUGGAGAAAAUAAGAAACAUUGACACAAAUGCCGCUAAUCACGUGAAAGAGGCUGGUUUUAGGUCGGAUUCAGAGAUCAGGUCUCUAACUCGAGAGGACCUGCAAGAAAUGUUUCCUGGAUUAGAGAAGACGAGCAUGAGGAAGAGAAUCUUUGAAACGAUAAGCAACACAGAUCCAACAAAUGUGCUCCUGACAAAACUCAAAGAUUUUAUCCCGCGUGAUAAUCUCAAAGCUGCUCUGUCCAACAACGGGGUUUUGGUGGACUACUUUCACCAGCUGAAGGACACGCAGACCCAACUGAACAAUGUGCAGAAAUUCCUGGAGGCUAAUAUUAGAUUCCUGGAGGAAAGUCGUGAUGCUCCAUCAGGACAGGAAACUGCAUCAGCUUCUACAUCAACUGCUGUGACCCACCAGAGUGAGAACAAUACCAACAUCUCCAGUUCAGAAACCCCUCAAGGAAACGACAACGUUCAGGAACAGAAUAUGGAAACAGACAACAAAGGUGAAAUCAUGUCUGGUUUAUUGAAGAAAAUAAGAAAAAUUGACCACCAGGCUGCUGAUGAAAUAGAAAAGGCUGAUUUAAGAUCUGAUUCAGAGAUCAAGUGUCUGAGUCGAGUGGACCUGCAAGAACUGUUUCCUGGGCCAGAUAAGCUACAGAUGAGGAAGAGCAUCUUUGAAACAAUAAACGAAAAGGAUUCAGUAACUGAGCUCCUAAAUGAUCUCCGUGCUUUCAUCUCACAUGAUAAUCUCAAAGCUGCUCUGUCCAACAACGGGGUCUUGGUGAAAUACCUGAACAUCCUGAAGGACAUGCAGACUCAGCAGAACAACGUGCAAAAGUUCCUGGAGGCUAAUAUUAGGUUUCUAGAGACCAGCCGCGAUGCUCAACCAAGGCAGGGACCUGCAUCAGCUUAUACAUCAAAUGCUGUGGCUAAGCGGAGUGAUAAGAAUACAGAAGUCCUCAGUACACGACCCUCACAAGUUUAUGUGACAGAAAGUUCCAGGAUGACGGGCGCUCAUGGCAACAGCAGCCAAAGUUCCUAUGGCAGCUCUUAUAGCCAUUCACAGAAACCUCCAGUAACAGUGAAAUACAAGACGGUGGUCAGCGGCAAAACGUUCAACGCCAAUGGGCAGAUUCUCGACCAGAUACGGUCUUCAGCUCCAGAGUUGAACUUGGUUGAAGUGGAAGCGACUACAUGUGUAGAUGAUUCUGAGAUCACUUUAGUCUUCUGUCCAAUCGUUUCUCGUGUUGGGACAGAUGUUGAAGCAGCCAUGAAAACGGUUCCAGGCGACAAACCUGUCAUUUUGCUGUUGAUGCACCACGUUCACGAAGUAAAGUACGUUCCCUCGAUGAGGACCUGGCCUGACCACCAUAACAUUGUGCUGCAUGUUAAUGUUUUCUACCAUGAGAAAGUGCCUGGGUUAAUCGUUUGCCAAAAGAACGUCGAAGCCAUCACUGCAGUGAAAAAUGAAAUGCUGAAAUAUGGAAUAACAGAUGUACGUAGUGGUUAUUUAUCUGACACUGCCAGUCUAUCAAGCCAUGAUACAGGUGUUGUCACCCACUCUUUAUCUCAGAGAGAUAAUCAAAGCAAGUUGUAUAGUUGGAAUCCAAUGAAUUGGUCAAUAAGAAAAUAA